This 522-nucleotide long non-coding RNA is filed under the name Gopherus agassizii (Agassiz's desert tortoise). RNAcentral's name for it is "lncRNA (ENSGAGG00000022154.1)". Lineage: Eukaryota; Metazoa; Chordata; Testudines; Testudinidae. The record is from RNAcentral.
GAUAAAAUCAGCUGUCAGAGACCAGUCAGAGACAAAGAACAGGAUCAAGGGACACAGAUUGGAGCAGAGCUUCUCCAUAGGAACUUCUGCUGGGAUUUUCUACCGAAAAGACACGACUGGCUGGAACUCUCUAUGAGAAGACACAGUCAAUUUUAGACAACACUAGACGCAUACUGCACCAAGGACACGGGAAACCCUCCUCCCCCUCCGUGAAGGAGCGGUCAGCUCUCUAUCUGUCUGAGACAGCUGCUCACACAGGCAACCUCCAAAAGUCUAAUACCACAAAGGAGAGCGCUACUCAUCCUCUUGACAACCAGAAAGCAAGCAAGGUAGGACAUGCUAAAAACACGUGUGGUUGUCUAACAAAGUCUUUGUGGACUGGUGUAUAGUGCGAUUUAACUACCUGUGCUUGACAAUGAGGCACACUCUCAUGCAGAAUGUGGAGGUCUGACACCUCAACUACUCAGCCAUAUUUAGAACUUGUUUAUGAGGUUCAAAAUCACCUUACAUAAAAAGGCUCCA